This 57-nucleotide transfer RNA is filed under the name Neotoma lepida (desert woodrat). It matches the Rfam family "tRNA", at positions 8 to 63 of the family's 71-position model. Rfam says of the family: Transfer RNA (tRNA) molecules are approximately 80 nucleotides in length. Their secondary structure includes four short double-helical elements and three loops (D, anti-codon, and T loops). Further hydrogen bonds mediate the characteristic L-shaped molecular structure. tRNAs have two regions of fundamental functional importance: the anti-codon, which is responsible for specific mRNA codon recognition, and the 3' end, to which the tRNAs corresponding amino acid is attached (by aminoacyl-tRNA synthetases). tRNAs cope with the degeneracy of the genetic code in two manners: having more than one tRNA (with a specific anti-codon) for a particular amino acid; and 'wobble' base-pairing, i.e. permitting non-standard base-pairing at the 3rd anti-codon position. Lineage: Eukaryota; Metazoa; Chordata; Mammalia; Rodentia; Cricetidae. The record is from Rfam by way of RNAcentral.
UGGCUCAUUGGUUAGAGCACUGGAUGCUCUUCCAGAGGACCUGGGUUCANUUCCCAG